UACCGGAUGAUGAACGUAACGUACCAAAGUAUUUAUCCGACCCGAAGGAUGACGCCCGCGUAAGUAUUAGCUUAGUUGGUGGGGUAAAGGCCUACCAAGGCGACGAUCUUUAGCUGGUCUGAGAGGAUGAUCAGCCACACUGGGACUGAGACACGGCCCAGACUCCUACAGGAGGCAGCAGUGGGGAAUAUUGGACAAUGGGCGAAAGCCUGAUUCAGCAAUGCCGCGUGAGUGAUGAAGGCCUUAGGGUUGUAAAGCUCUUUACCAGGGAUGAUAAUGACAGUACCUGGAGAAUAAGCUCCGGCUAACUCCGUG
RNAcentral lists this ribosomal RNA (315 nucleotides) under uncultured bacterium. Its description in RNAcentral is "bacterial SSU rRNA". It matches the Rfam family "Bacterial small subunit ribosomal RNA", at positions 167 to 507 of the family's 1533-position model. The record is from RNAcentral.